UCUUCUUAGAGAUUGAUUUGCAGGCGAAAUGGUCGCCAGUCUCCUUGUCCGUACAUAAAUAUGUGAUUCCAAAUUCACCCCUACCUAGCUCUCUGCCUAGCUCAUAUCUUUGCUCGAUUUCUCCUCCUGUUGGGUCUUUUAAGACGGUUAGCCUGUGCUGGACUCCAUUGUUGAGGCCGUACUCGAUAGCAAAUGGGUUUUGUUUCUUCUUGUUCUUCUUAUUAUCGUGAUCUGGGGCUGUUGACGGGGUAACACAACAAUUACCCAUGAAUCAGAAAUUAAAAAAACAAAAAUUUGACAAAAAAAAUCUUGUUUGCUGGGAUUUUUGCGGCUCCUGGUGAGAUGGAUAUUUAGAUUUGUAGAGAAAAUGGAUUCAGAAGAUAAAAAAAAUUAGGUCUUUCCAGUCAAAAUCUAACGCUUUGAGCAAAUCAAGAAAUGGGUAUUUGUAAUUGCGAAAGAAGAUCCAAGAUCCAGCUAUAAAUGAUCAAAUCUCUGGAGGACAAGACCAA
Molecule: unclassified non-coding RNA, 509 nt
Filed under: Hevea brasiliensis (rubber tree)
Lineage: Eukaryota; Viridiplantae; Streptophyta; Magnoliopsida; Malpighiales; Euphorbiaceae
Source: RNAcentral